GUGUCCGAAGUCGAAGUGGUGGAGAUGCUUGUUUGUGAAGCAAGUGAUUAGCGGGUUCAACUCCCGUCGGACACC
Molecule: transfer RNA, 75 nt
Filed under: Hyella patelloides LEGE 07179
Lineage: Bacteria; Bacillati; Cyanobacteriota; Cyanophyceae; Pleurocapsales; Pleurocapsaceae
Description: Hyella sp. LEGE 07179 tRNA
Rfam family: tRNA
About the family: Transfer RNA (tRNA) molecules are approximately 80 nucleotides in length.
Source: Rfam by way of RNAcentral